Colletotrichum noveboracense is the source of this 98-nucleotide non-coding RNA. Lineage: Eukaryota; Fungi; Ascomycota; Sordariomycetes; Glomerellales; Glomerellaceae. The record is from the annotation of a GenBank genome assembly.
GGGCGCUUGGUCUAGGGGUAUGAUUUUCGCUUCGCAUCUUCGUCGGUAACGGCGAUGCGCAUUGUGAAAGGUCGUGGGUUCAAUUCCCACAGUGUCCA